This is a microRNA precursor of Camelus dromedarius (Arabian camel), 81 nucleotides long. Ensembl annotates it as microRNA 148a. Its record names the gene MIR148A. Lineage: Eukaryota; Metazoa; Chordata; Mammalia; Artiodactyla; Camelidae. The record is from Ensembl.
GUUUGGUCUUUUGAGGCAAAGUUCUGAGACACUCCGACUCUGAAUAUGAUAGAAGUCAGUGCACUACAGAACUUUGUCUCU